Molecule: transfer RNA, 74 nt
Filed under: Chitinophagales bacterium
Lineage: Bacteria; Pseudomonadati; Bacteroidota; Chitinophagia; Chitinophagales
Description: tRNA-Asp
Rfam family: tRNA
About the family: Transfer RNA (tRNA) molecules are approximately 80 nucleotides in length. Their secondary structure includes four short double-helical elements and three loops (D, anti-codon, and T loops). Further hydrogen bonds mediate the characteristic L-shaped molecular structure. tRNAs have two regions of fundamental functional importance: the anti-codon, which is responsible for specific mRNA codon recognition, and the 3' end, to which the tRNAs corresponding amino acid is attached (by aminoacyl-tRNA synthetases). tRNAs cope with the degeneracy of the genetic code in two manners: having more than one tRNA (with a specific anti-codon) for a particular amino acid; and 'wobble' base-pairing, i.e. permitting non-standard base-pairing at the 3rd anti-codon position.
Source: RNAcentral
GGUGUGGUAGUUCAGUUGGUUAGAAUGCCUGCCUGUCACGCAGGAGGUCGCGGGUUCGAGCCCCGUCCAUACCG